Molecule: ribosomal RNA, 388 nt
Filed under: uncultured bacterium
Lineage: Bacteria
Description: bacterial SSU rRNA
Rfam family: Bacterial small subunit ribosomal RNA
Source: RNAcentral
GACGAACGCUGGCGGCGUGCUUAACACAUGCAAGUCGAGCGGUAAGGCCCUUUCGGGGGUACACGAGCGGCGAACGGGUGAGUAACACGUGGGUGACCUGCCCUCAGCUCUGGGAUAAGCCUGGGAAACCGGGUCUAAUACCGGAUAUGACUCCAUGACGCAUGUUGUGGGGUGGAAAGCCUUGUGCGGCUGAGGAUGGGCCCGCGGCCUAUCAGCUUGUUGGUGGGGUGAUGGCCUACCAAGGCGACGACGGGUAGCCGGCCUGAGAGGGCGACCAGCCACACUGGGACUGAGACACGGCCCAGACUCCUACGGGAGGCAGCAGUGGGGAAUCUUGCGCAAUGGGCGAAAGCCUGACGCAGCGACGCCGCGUGAGGGAUGACGGCCU